RNAcentral lists this ribosomal RNA (400 nucleotides) under uncultured bacterium. Its description in RNAcentral is "bacterial SSU rRNA". It matches the Rfam family "Bacterial small subunit ribosomal RNA", at positions 30 to 431 of the family's 1533-position model. The record is from RNAcentral.
UUGAACGCUGGCGGCAUGCCUUACACAUGCAAGUCGAACGGCAGCACGGGGGCAACCCUGGUGGCGAGUGGCGAACGGGUGAGUAAUAUAUCGGAACGUACCCUGGAGUGGGGGAUAACGUAGCGAAAGUUACGCUAAUACCGCAUACGAUCUACGGAUGAAAGUGGGGGCUCGCAAGACCUCCUGCUCAUGGAGCGGCCGAUAUCUGAUUAGCUAGUUGGUGGGGUAAAGGCCUACCAAGGCGACGAUCAGUAGCUGGUCUGAGAGGACGACCAGCCACACUGGGACUGAGACACGGCCCAGACUCCUACGGGAGGCAGCAGUGGGGAAUUUUGGACAAUGGGGGCAACCCUGAUCCAGCAAUGCCGCGUGAGUGAAGAAGGCCUUCGGGUUGUAAAGC